GACGAACGCUGGCGGCGUGCUUAACACAUGCAAGUCGAACGGAAAGGCCCUGCUUUUGUGGGGUGCUCGAGUGGCGAACGGGUGAGUAACACGUGAGUAACCUGCCCUUGACUUUGGGAUAACUUCAGGAAACUGGGGCGAAUACCGGAUAGGAGCUCCUGCUGCAUGGGGGGGGUUGGAAAGUUUCGGCGGUUGGGGAUGGACUCGCGGCUUAUCAGCUUGUUGGUGGGGUAGUGGCUUACCAAGGCUUUGACGGGUAGCCGGCCUGAGAGGGUGACCGGCCACAUUGGGACUGAGCUACGGCCCAGACUCCUACGGGAGGCAGCAGUGGGGAAUAUUGCACAAUGGGCGGAAGCCUGAUGCAGCAACGCCGCGUGCGGGAUGACGGCCUUCGGGUUGUAAACCGCUUUCGCCUGUGACGAAGCGUGAGUGACGGUAAUGGGUAAAGAAGCACCGGCUAACUACGUG
RNAcentral lists this ribosomal RNA (468 nucleotides) under uncultured bacterium. RNAcentral describes it as "partial 16S ribosomal RNA". It matches the Rfam family "Bacterial small subunit ribosomal RNA", at positions 28 to 507 of the family's 1533-position model. The record is from RNAcentral.